This is a long non-coding RNA of Phacochoerus africanus (Common warthog), 1599 nucleotides long. RefSeq lists it as uncharacterized. The transcript is spliced from 2 exons. NCBI's taxonomy places the organism in Eukaryota, Metazoa, Chordata, Mammalia, Artiodactyla, Suidae. The record is from RefSeq and is a predicted model, not a curated record.
CCCUGGCCUGGGAACUUCCAUAUGCCAUUGGUGUGGCUGGAAGUAUUUAAAACUUUAAGUCCUCUCAGCAUGGUGGCCUCUCACUUCCUGUCCUCCCUGUCUUGUCCUUCCCUUUCGGUCCCUCAUUUCUGAGGGCCUGGGCUUCUGAUCUUCCUCUGAUAUCCAGGGCCUCUGUAAAUACUGAGCAUGUGCAUAUGUGCAUAGCAAACCUCUAACAGACCCCCUUCAUGUAGAUGGGCCCCCACCCCACCACCCCCCAGAAAUGUCCACCGGAGCAGUCCAACUCCUACUCUGACUCCUGGUUCCUGCCUGUGCCCAUUUCUGACCAACUCCACAUUCUGGGUUUCACUAUUCAUGAAUUGUGACUUUUGUUGGCUUUUCUAGUUUCUCACUCUUGAUUUUCAUAUCCUUACUUCAUCUUGUAUACAUUUUCGAGCUUCUGAUAGAUUCUUCUGGGAACUGACUAUGGCUAAUUUUUAUCCCAUAUCCAGGUAGUAACAACUUCUCGAUCAUCUCCCUUUCUCUUACAGGUUCACUGCUGCCUAAAACAAUCUUUUGCCCAGAUGACAGUUCAGAGACAGGUGAGGGAAGGCUAAAGAAGGAAGAAUUUUUGAAGUUCACGGUUACCAUGUGUUGUGCAUCCCUAGAAAGGAAGGCGAGCGAGCUUCCUUCUUUUUUGAUCUUGGGAAGGCCACAUGUACAUCUACAGAACAUCUCUGCUGAUACAAUGUCAGCAGUAGUCUGAUCUAUCUUGGGCCUUUUUCCAGUGCUAAUGGCUAAGCUUCCAUGAGAUGCUAGAAUACCUUAAAAAGAAGAUGAUGUCAUUGGCUGAGACCCCUGUUCCCUAACCAAGACAAUAUCUCUGAAUUUUAAAUGAAAGCUACAUUGUGAGGUUUUGUUUUUUGUUUUUGUUUGUUUGUUUGUUUGUUUUUUUCUUCUCCCAUCUUAUAUCAUGGUGCUUACUAGAGGAAGUUUUAAUGGUAAUUAGGGUAGGAUUGAACUUGGAGAAUGUAAUGAAAUAUGGACAGGUUCUUAACCCAUAUAUGAACCUUUGCAAGAAUAUUUGCCUUUGAGCCAGCUUGAGCAUCUCAUUACUUAUGCCCAUGAUGCCAAUAGACUGAAUUGCAUAAUAAUUCCAAAGAUUCUAUCUGCCAGGCUCUUGUCUGUUUUCAUGAUGUAUUUAGAAGACUCUGAGAGGACCUGAUACUUCAGGAGAAAGUGCUGGUUUGGCCAGUGGAGACUAGAGGCACUUGUUCAUUUUCUGUUUGAGAAAAUGGCCAUUAUUUCUCCAAGAUGUUAUAAUUUAUAAAAGCUACUUACUCAUUAAAUGUAGUGUUUUUCCCUUCAAAAUAGGAAAGAUGAAUAUAAUUUUUUUCUAAAAAUCCUAUUACUAAUGUUAAUGAUUUGUAGAUCACUUAUUACUUUGCUUAUUGAUGGGGCUAUAGUGGGGUCUGAAAGUCUAAAACUUUACUCCCAUUAUUAUAGAUAUAUUCCUUCUAGUAAGAACUGAAAAACUGUUUGUACAUGUAAUUUUCUAAGUUUGUAAAUGUAACUUUAUAGGUAGUUGAAUCAUAAUUAAAGCUCUGAUUAAUUAUUCUA